Molecule: ribosomal RNA, 463 nt
Filed under: uncultured bacterium
Lineage: Bacteria
Description: partial 16S ribosomal RNA
Rfam family: Bacterial small subunit ribosomal RNA
Source: RNAcentral
GAUGAACGCUGACAGAAUGCUUAACACAUGCAAGUCUUUGGUGAAGCUGUGCUUGCACAGCCUAGCCAAGGCGGACGGGUGAGUAACGCGUAAGGAACUUGCCCUGCAGUCAGGGAUAACAGACGGAAACGACUGAUAAGACCUGGUAAAGUCAGGCGGACUCAUGUCCAGCCUGAUGAAAAGAGAUGCUGCAGGAGAGCCUUGCGUCAUAUUAGCUUGUUGGUGGGGUAACGGCCCACCAAGGCAAUGAUAGGUAGCCGGCCUGAGAGGGUGGACGGCCACAAGGGGACUGAGAUACGGCACUUACUCCUACGGGAGGCAGCAGUGGGGAAUAUUGGACAAUGGGGGCAAGCCUGAUCCAGCAAUUCUGUGUGCACGAUGAAGGUUUUCGGAUUGUAAAGUGCUUUCAGCAGGGAAGAAAAAAAUGACGGUACCUGCAGAAGAAGCGACGGCUAAAUACGUG